Molecule: unclassified non-coding RNA, 307 nt
Filed under: plant metagenome
Description: partial contains 5.8S ribosomal RNA, internal transcribed spacer 2, and large subunit ribosomal RNA
Rfam family: 5.8S ribosomal RNA (bases 1-105)
Source: RNAcentral
GAAAUGCGAUAAGUAGUGUGAAUUGCAGAAUUCAGUGAAUCAUCGAAUCUUUGAACGCACAUUGCGCCCUUUGGUAUUCCAAAGGGCAUGCCUGUUCGAGCGUCAUUUGUACCCUCAAGCUUUGCUUGGUGUUGGGCGUCUUGUCUCUAGCUUUGCUGGAGACUCGCCUUAAAGUAAUUGGCAGCCGGCCUACUGGUUUCGGAGCGCAGCACAAGUCGCACUCUCUAUCAGUAAAGGUCUAGCAUCCAUUAAGCCCUUUUUCAACUUUUGACCUCGGAUCAGGUAGGGAUACCCGCUGAACUUAAGC